Hyla sarda is the source of this 1361-nucleotide long non-coding RNA. RefSeq lists it as uncharacterized. The transcript is spliced from 3 exons. The record is from RefSeq and is a predicted model, not a curated record. Lineage: Eukaryota; Metazoa; Chordata; Amphibia; Anura; Hylidae.
GUUCAUCCUAUCAACCAGUUACGUGAAUCUCAUGGCCACAUUGGACAUCUGUACCAGGAGCUUCGCAGGUAUCUAGAGAAGUUCUACAACUUCUUGAGGAUGCCAAGGGAGACGUUUGACAAGCUGCAAGAGAUGCUGAAUCCACAUCUCCAACUACAGGACACCAGACUCCACCAAGCCAUCAAUUCUACUGAACAUCUGUUGAUCACAUUGUGAUUUCUCGCAACUGGGGAGAGUUUUGCAUCGUUGUACCUCCAAUUCCGAGUCGGAAAAUUUACCAUCUCUGGAAUUGUGAGGUCAACAUGCCACGUGAUCUGGCAACACUUGCAGCCCAUUUCUAUGCCCAGUCCAACCCAGGAGACGUGGCUACAGGCAGCAGCAGGCUUUCAGUCUGUAGCCCAAUUCCCAAACUGCAUAGGCACCGUCGACGGGAAGCAUGUACUAGUGCAGCAACCACCGUGAUCAGGAUCACAGUACUUCAAUUACAAGAAGUACUUUUCUGUUGCCCUGAUGACGGUGGCUGAUGUCAAUUACAAGUACAUUGCCAUCGACGUCGGCACCUAUGGUAGUACUGGGGACUUGCAGGUGCUGUUGACAUCAGAAUUUCGCCAGCAAGUGUUGGGAGAUCAGGUGACUCUGCCCCCACCAAGACCUCUUCCGGGUACCCCACAUCCAGUCCCCUUCGUCAUGGUAUGGCUUUUCCUCUAAUGAAUAACCUGCUGCGUCCAUACCCACAGAGGGGACUGAAUGGCCAAAAGACAGUUUUCAACGCAAGGCUGAGCCGGGCAUGAUGCUUCGUGGAGUGCACCUUUGGGAUCAUGAGUAGUAAGUGGAGGAUCUUAACCUGUGCAAUGCAGUUGGAUGAGACCACAGUUGAUGCACUCAUCAAAGCUGCGUGUGACCUCCAUAACUUUGUUCGGGACUAUGAAAGCUUGUACUUAGAAGUGGAGCAACCUGCAGCUUUGAAUGACUCCCCCAUCAACUUUGGCUCAGGGCAGCCAUCCAACAGUGCUGUACUUGUGAGAGAAACCUUCACUGACUAUUUCAUGUCUCCCGAAGGUGCCGUGUCCUGGCAAGUUUAACCAGCCUUGGUGCUUAACAUAUGUCCAGUGAAACUGAUGGCUACAGAUGGAAAGAAGCUUGUCAAGAAUCUCCAUUGGUGUUCUCAUGUCCUUCCAGCAUCCUGGUUUUUGCCCCUCACUACCCUGUGCACUAUGUGCUUGGAUCACAUUGUUAUGUUGGACUUUGCAUUUGUCCACCAUGUGGACUAACUUGUUGAGUUGGGCUGCCCUUGAGCAACCUGUGCCCUACCAAUUUGUAUCCUACUUUUUUUCCUUUCCAGUUGUCAAUCUGGAAUAAGC